AUGACGAGUGGCGGACGGGUGAGUAAUGCUUGGGAACUUGCCUUUGCGAGGGGGAUAACAGUUGGAAACGACUGCUAAUACCGCAUAAUGUCUUCGGACCAAACGGGGCUUCGGCUCCGGCGCAAAGAGAGGCCCAAGUGAGAUUAGCUAGUUGGUAAGGUAACGGCUUACCAAGGCGACGAUCUCUAGCUGUUCUGAGAGGAAGAUCAGCCACACUGGGACUGAGACACGGCCCAGACUCCUACGGGAGGCAGCAGUGGGGAAUAUUGCACAAUGGGGGAAACCCUGAUGCAGCCAUGCCGCGUGUGUGAAGAAGGCCUUCGGGUUGUAAAGCACUUUCAGUUGUGAGGAAAAGUUAGUAGUUAAUACCUGCUAGCCGUGACGUUAACAACAGAAGAAGCACCGGCUAACUCCGUGCCAGCAGCCGCGGUAAUACGGAGGGUGCGAGCGUUAAUCGGAAUUACUGGGCGUAAAGCGCACGCAGGCGGUUUGUUAAGCUAGAUGUGAAAGCCCCGGGCUCAACCUGGGAUGGUCAUUUAGAACUGGCAGACUAGAGUCUUGGAGAGGGGAGUGGAAUUCCAGGUGUAGCGGUGAAAUGCGUAGAUAUCUGGAGGAACAUCAGUGGCGAAGGCGACUCCCUGGCCAAAGACUGACGCUCAUGUGCGAAAGUGUGGGUAGCGAACAGGAUUAGAUACCCUGGUAGUCCACACCGUAAACGCUGUCUACUAGCUGUGUGUGCCUUUAAGGCGUGCGUAGCGAAGCUAACGCGCUAAGUAGACCGCCUGGGGGAGUACGGCCGCAAGGUUAAAACUCAAAUGAAUUGACGGGGGCCCGCACAAGCGGUGGAGCAUGUGGUUUAAUUCGAUGCAACGCGAAGAACCUUACCUACACUUGACAU
RNAcentral lists this ribosomal RNA (898 nucleotides) under Alteromonas macleodii. Its description in RNAcentral is "bacterial SSU rRNA". It matches the Rfam family "Bacterial small subunit ribosomal RNA", at positions 88 to 987 of the family's 1533-position model. The record is from RNAcentral. Lineage: Bacteria; Pseudomonadati; Pseudomonadota; Gammaproteobacteria; Alteromonadales; Alteromonadaceae.